AACGUAGGAGACAAACGUUAUCCGGAGUUACUGGGCGUAAAGGGCGUGUAGGUGGUUUCGUAAGUCUGGCGUGAAAUUUUUCGGCUUAACCGGGAAAGGUCGUCGGAUACUGCAAGACUAGAGGACGGUAGAGGCGUGUGGAAUUCCGGGUGUAGUGGUGAAAUGCGUAGAGAUCCGGAGGAACACCAGUGGCGAAGGCGGGUCUCUGGACAGUUCCUGACGCUGAGGCACGAAGGCGAGGGGAGCAAACGGG
Molecule: ribosomal RNA, 253 nt
Filed under: uncultured bacterium
Lineage: Bacteria
Description: partial 16S ribosomal RNA
Rfam family: Bacterial small subunit ribosomal RNA
Source: RNAcentral